Zeugodacus cucurbitae (melon fly) is the source of this 624-nucleotide long non-coding RNA. RefSeq lists it as uncharacterized. The transcript is spliced from 2 exons. The record is from RefSeq and is a predicted model, not a curated record. NCBI's taxonomy places the organism in Eukaryota, Metazoa, Arthropoda, Insecta, Diptera, Tephritidae.
CUUUCAGGACAAUCACUUCGUAGUGCAGCGCCAUCACUUUGCAAAUAGCGAUCGUGGACGUGUGUGUGUGGACACGAUAGUUUAUUCAGAUAAACGAAAAUGGAUGAUAGCAAAAUAUAGAACGCUGCAAAUAAGGACGCCAGCCACAAGCGCACACCACAAAAUGGGCGAAAAGGACAAUUGAAGUGGGUAUGUACCUGGAGUGGACUUGCCACAUUUAACUGUUAUUUUUAUAACUCGAAAAUAUAUAAAAGUUGAAAUAAGCACGAGUGGAAAUGCAAUUACAUUUCUUGAUAAUUAAAUUGCUGUUGUUUUUGCGUGUGAUAUACAUAGUAAGAUAGCUGGCGGUAGGGUGGCACGCUGAUAAGCAGCAUAGCAUAUUAAAAUGAUAAUUGUGAGAAAAUGAACAGCUGCAUAAUUUGUCAAGCGAAUGGCGUCGGAAAAAGAAUUUCUACAAAUCACAGCCGAAACAAAUGUUCCGAAACAGCACACACUCACACGCAUGCAAAUGCUUGUUCUUCGAACAAAUACCUCUGUAGAUAUAAAUACACGACAAUGAAACAUAAAGCUGGGCGGAAUAAAUACAAAUAUAAUACAAAAUAAACUUAUUUUAAGAAAUUAAAA